GACGAACGCUGGCGGCGUGCUUAACACAUGCAAGUCGAACGGAAAGGCCCUGCUUUUGUGGGGUGCUCGAGUGGCGAACGGGUGAGUAACACGUGAGUAACCUGCCCUUGACUUUGGGAUAACGUCAGGAAACUGGGGCUAAUACCGGAUAGGAGCUCCUGCUGCAUGGUGGGGGUUGGAAAGUUUCGGCGGUUGGGGAUGGACUCGCGGCUUAUCAGCUUGUUGGUGGGGUAGUGGCUUACCAAGGCUUUGACGGGUAGCCGGCCUGGGAGGGUGACCGGCCACAUUGGGACUGAGAUACGGCCCAGACUCCUACGGGAGGCAGCAGUGGGGAAUAUUGCACAAUGGGCGGAAGCCUGAUGCAGCAACGCCGCGUGCGGGAUGACGGCCUUCGGGUUGUAAACCGCUUUCGCCUGUGACGAAGCGUGAGUGACGGUAAUGGGUAAAGAAGCACCGGCUAACUACGUG
This 468-nucleotide ribosomal RNA is filed under the name uncultured bacterium. RNAcentral describes it as "partial 16S ribosomal RNA". It matches the Rfam family "Bacterial small subunit ribosomal RNA", at positions 28 to 507 of the family's 1533-position model. The record is from RNAcentral.